AAAGAAAUCAAUCCUGGGGCGUACUCUACGCAUCAGGUUGACUAGGCCAGAUUCGCAAACCCCUAAGACCUCACUGGUCAAUUUAUUAUCGUCAUUCGAUUUGCAGCUCCUUUCACUCCGCCCUGCAGUAUCGUGAGCCAUUCUGAUAUAUAAGGUUUAUGAUUUCAGAUCUUCUCUUUCGUUCGUUCAUCCAUUCACUCUAUUUCGAGAUCUAGAGUUUCAUUUUAUUUUGAGCGUAUUCAUUUCCUUGGACCGAUGUCCGAUAUUGAAUUGAUUUGUUGAAAAAUUGUUUUAUGCAGGUGACUUUGCUGCCUUUACAAUCUGUUUUACUAUGUGAGUAUUAGCAUUCACUUAUAAAUAUUUAAUUUUCCCGAAAUCGGGAUUUGAUAUUGGCGAUUCAUUUUAUCCACCAGACGAAUUCCAUUUCGCGAUUCUUAAAUAAUUAUUGAAUUAUUGAGAACUCACACACUUUCUGAGCGGUAUGUGUUAUUAGUUUACCGAGUACAGCAAGCUAAUGUAGCUUUUACUGAAUUGGAAAAUAAUUUUAAGUGCAAGGUGCAAGGGUUAAGUUGAUAUCAGAAGUUGAGAUUUUUCUUUUUAAUUUAUGAAUAUAUCAGAAAACAAAUGAUUAGUUAUGCUGUCCCCUUCGGGUUAUGGAAUAAUGCCUUAAUAGAUUCCGGAAUUAUAUUUUGCUGUGCCACACAGGCUUUAAAAAAUGAAACCUCAAGGGCUUUUUCUAGUAAGGGAAAAUCUCCAUCAGAAUCUCCUCAUGAACUGAGUCAAGACUUCGAUUGGGUCUUCCUGUAAUCUAUGUCACUUAGGGUAAUUAAGUCCAGUACUGGCUUACUAAUGUAACUUGUAGAAUGGUUAUAUGAACUAUUGACAUAAAUGUUGAAGAGGAGAAAUGUUAAGCUUCUAUAUAGAGUCUUGAUCUACCGUCUGAAUAAAUCGAUUUCUUACAUUUCAAAUUAGCUUGUGAAGCAUAAUGUGCUUGUUAUUGCCUAAACCUAUUAAACAUUUGAGAUAAAUAAUAAAUAAUAAUUUAUAUUCAAAAAAUAAAUAAAUUAAUAAAUUGGCUACCAAAAGAACCAUCUGUCUUACUUUUUGGUUUGGCAUCAAUUUAAUAAGUAUCCUCUUCUUUUGUGCAAACUUUUAUUGUUAAUUUAGGUCGGACGAUGAGCCUGUAGAUCCAAAGCAGGAACUUGAAGAGCGAUGCAAGGCACCAUGUACUCGACCACUUAAAGAAUAUCAGGUGAUUUUGACUGAAUAGAAAUAAACCCUCCUUUUUCUUUUUCUAAUUUAAUGUCUGCUUCUCCAAUUUUCAAGUUUCCUGCCUUUUGUGUUCUUUUCACCUGAUACUUAGUAUUGCUCAAGCCUAAAUGAAAUGUUCUAUGCAUUGUACAUUUUUUCAGUUUCUAGUUCUGUAUUCUUUUUGUUUAAGCUGUUAUUACAAUCUGAUUGGAAGCUUUGUUGAACUCCUUGUAAAGUAGAGCAAUGGAGCAUAUACCAAUUAAAUAAUUGUGCACUGGAGAAACAUAUACAGAUCUGCUUCCCCAUUCCAUUCCAUUUUGAUGCUUCUCAUAUUCUUGAUAUUUCAAUAAAAUGUUGAGCACCUCUAGCAUUUGAGGAUUAUUACUACAAAUGCAGGUGUGAGAUAAGGCACACAUUGUGUGUGCAUAUCUUUUGCACAUUUGUCAUCCUGAUCUUUUUAUGCCAAGGUGAAAAAUAUCUACAUAGAGCAUGUUUGGUCUUGAUUUUCUGAGAAUAUAUUUUAUAAAAACUGUUCUCUCCCUCUCUCUUCAUUAUUAUUAUUAUUUUUUUGGGGGGAGAAUGUGUAGUUAGAAAGUAACGAAAAAUCAUGGAUCCAUGUGCAAAUUUAUUUUAUUGGGAGAAUGUACCGUUGAAAAUGAGUUUGGGGGAAAAAUAAGUUUUAAAGAAUCUGUAUGACUAUAGCAAACAGGGGCUUAAUAGAAAAUUUGAAGAAAUUAAAUUUUUGAAUGGAAAUUACUUUGUGACAUUCAUUUAUACUAUGUGAGAUGUCUAAUGUUAGCGGGCAUAAUGCUAUGUUUAUAUCUGAAAAAUAAUCUUGUAAAUUACUGAUGAUAAUAUUAAAAUGUAGUUGUGGCUAGAGAUAGUAUAGAUAUUUGAUCAUAAGAAAGUGAAACAUACAUAAUGAUAUAUGUUCUGUGCAUUAUGUUCAUUUUUUCAUUAGGAUGUUUACUUGCAAGGACGUGAUAAAAGUUGAAUAUAUUUGUUCCGAGGUAUCUUAGGGUUAAUAAAUAUUAUGGAAUUACAUGUCAUGUUAGUUCAACAAACAUAAAAAAUAACUCAGGUAUAAAGGAGCAAGUUUCAAUUGUGGGAGAACUUCUUGUAAAUGGGUAAUUUUAAUUAAGAAAAGUUUCUAAUGGAAAGCAGUUGAUGGUAGUUGAUGUGCUUAUUCCUCUGGGAGAGUUGGUUUUAGUAAUUAAUUUAAUUGUGGGCGGUGCACGAGCAUUAUGACAGGUUCCAUAUUUAUGAAUUAAUGUCCUUUUUUCAUUGACAUUUAUGGGUAUUAUGGGAUUUCUGUAGUUAGAAUCCGUACAACUCUUUCAACAUUCCCCUUUCCCCUUCUCUCUUGACACUUCCAACUGUACCUCCUUAUUGUCCAUUGUUCCUACUUCUCCACAUCCACCUACUCCAAAUAAUCUUGCAAUUUGUUUGCAUCCUCUCCUUGUUCAGUUUAGCUUCUGCAUGUUUACCUCUUCUAUGCAUACCAAACAGAUGGAAAUAAAUUAUUAUUUUGAUGGGACAGAAUGGAGCUCAAGAAGCUUAACUUAAUGUUGAAUUGUUUCUAUUAAUUUCUUUCAUAUUGGCGGGAUCGUAAUUUUGGACCAAAGAAUGCCCAAACUUUCCACCAUUUGAUGAAUACCUGUGUUUGUAUGUAUAUUUUGAAUAAAAGGGAUGGCAGUAUUACUUGCUAGUUGGCAGUUGACUUGUCAACAAGUCAUGACUUGCUGCUGGACAAUGGGUCUAACUCUAUCACCAGUUAUUAUUUGCAACUAAACAAGUCUUUACUUUCUGCUAGGCAAUUGAUGUGUCACUCGUCAGGCACCACAGAUCAACUAAUGAACCAAUUCAUGGUUGUUAGGCAAUCGAGUUUGAGAAUCAGACCUCUGGAAGAAUUUUUUAUUUCGUGUCUAAGGAACUUAAAUUAGCCUUGACAUGGGACAAAUAUGAGUUUUUUAUAAUAGUUCGUUAUGUCCAUAACUCAUGAACUUCAUUUUCUGUGUGUGCAUUCAUUUAUGGCUUGUGUUGUUCAUGUAUACUCUUUUCUUUCAUCAUGCUACCCUAAAAAUGAAACCUUUUGUCAAUUGCAAGUGCUAAUGUAAAGUUUCUGAUAGGCAUGUGCUAAAAGGAUUCAAGGUGAUGAAAGUGGGCACAAGCACUGUACUGGACAAUACUUCGAUUAUUGGCAAUGCGUUGACAAAUGUGUAAGCCCAUCUUUCCUGUUUACAUUUAUUCAUCUGCUGCCUCUGUUUCGGGUAUAUUUCAACUGUAUAUUAAUAUUUUGUCUGUUUUGCUGCUGACAUUGGUUUUUAAUGCACAGGUUGCAACAAAGCUGUUUACUCAUCUUAAGUAACUGGGCAAGACCUCAUUGUUAUGCUGGCACCAGAUAAAGCUCUUUUGUUCAAAACUAGUUCAGUAUUAUUCUAUUUUUGUGAAAACCAUUGAUGCUUGUAUGCCGCUACUUAGCUAAAUGGAACGUUGAACUAUGCGCCCUGCAUUGCGAUCAAUAAAAGGAAAACCGUGGGAUUGAAUUCAUUUGCUUUUGCAAUUAUUUAUGUUGCUUUCGUUUAACAAUUUACCGUUUAGUGUUUUGGAAAAUUAUUUGUUAACCUCAUUUGUAGACUCUUCUGAGAUUUUCCUUUGUUUUCUCUCUUUUGGGCGUAGUUAGGAUAAACCUUUUUAUAUUGCUCCGGUACAUCUUGGAAGACAUCAGCGAACUUUAGCACAGCAUUAUAAUGUUCUAUGUUGGUAUUGUCCCAUUUGUAUGCGGACAUAUUUAGAGAAAAUGAUUUUUUUGUCCCCAGUUUCAGGAGAGAAUAUUUUCGUGUAUAUAACUAUAUAUAAUUUGGAUUGUGGAAUGAAAAAAUAAAAAUAAAAGAUUGAC
RNAcentral lists this long non-coding RNA (4150 nucleotides) under Olea europaea subsp. europaea. The record is from RNAcentral. Lineage: Eukaryota; Viridiplantae; Streptophyta; Magnoliopsida; Lamiales; Oleaceae.